Molecule: transfer-messenger RNA, 400 nt
Filed under: Patescibacteria group
Lineage: Bacteria
Also listed under: 1 other name
Description: JAGOUV01 sp018061065 Standard tmRNA
Rfam family: transfer-messenger RNA
About the family: Bacterial tmRNA, also known as 10Sa RNA or SsrA, is named for its dual tRNA and mRNA-like properties. Its role is to liberate the mRNA from a stalled ribosome. To accomplish this part of the tmRNA is used as a reading frame that ends in a translation stop signal.
Source: RNAcentral
GGGGAUGCCACGGCAUUCGACAGAGAUCUUUAAAAGUAUGGUUUUGCGUUCACGGGAUUGCACCGUCUCCCGUCAUAUCCGUCGGUGCACAAUAACUGCAAAUAAUGCAGAGGAAACAGCAUUUGUUAACCGACUUCGGUUGGUUCCAGCUUUUGCUUAACCAAAUCUCUUCCCUUAAUUGAGGAAGACGUCGUAUGGUGCGAGGCUUCGUAACAUCACUACGGCGUAACUUUCGAGGCUCGGGGUACUGUGCCGCCAGUACACUUAAACUUUGGCUCAAGCUGUGUGAGUUUUUUGGCUCUUUUAUAUUCACACGGACGAAAAUUCAAAACCGCCUACGAACGUAGACGAUCCAUGCUUUUGUUUCUGCACGGGGGUUCGACUCCCCCCAUCUCCACCA